AAAAAAAUAAUGAAUGGAAGACAAAGAAAAAUUUAGUAAAAAAAAAAAACAUACACAAAAAGACAAAAAGGUCACUUACUGUAGAAUAAUAAAUUCUAAGCUGCCAGUUCAUAAUAUGUGUGUGUGUGAGUGCAUGUGUGUGUGUAUGUGUGUGUGUGUGUGUGU
Long non-coding RNA from Octopus sinensis (East Asian common octopus), 165 nucleotides. RefSeq lists it as uncharacterized. The record is from RefSeq and is a predicted model, not a curated record. The transcript is spliced from 3 exons. NCBI's taxonomy places the organism in Eukaryota, Metazoa, Mollusca, Cephalopoda, Octopoda, Octopodidae.